RNAcentral lists this ribosomal RNA (497 nucleotides) under uncultured bacterium. Its description in RNAcentral is "partial 16S ribosomal RNA". It matches the Rfam family "Bacterial small subunit ribosomal RNA", at positions 28 to 507 of the family's 1533-position model. The record is from RNAcentral.
GACGAACGCUGGCGGCGUGCCUAAUACAUGCAAGUUGAGCGAUGAAGAUUGGUGCUUGCACCAAUUUGAAGAGCAGCGAACGGGUGAGUAACGCGUGGGGAAUCUGCCUUUGAGCGGGGGACAACAUUUGGAAACGAAUGCUAAUACCGCAUAACAACUUUAAACAUAUGUUUUAAGUUUGAAAGAUGCAAUUGCAUCACUCAAAGAUGAUCCCGCGUUGUAUUAGCUAGUUGGUGAGGUAAAGGCUCACCAAGGCGAUGAUACAUAGCCGACCUGAGAGGGUGAUCGGCCACAUUGGGACUGAGACACGGCCCAAACUCCUACGGGAGGCAGCAGUAGGGAAUCUUCGGCAAGGGACGAAAGUCUGACCGAGCAACGCCGCGUGAGUGAAGAAGGUUUUCGGAUCGUAAAACUCUGUUGGUAGAGAAGAACGUUGGUGAGAGUGGAAAGCUCAUCAAGUGACGGUAACUACCCAGAAAGGGACGGCUAACUACGUG